UAUCUAUCAUAUAAUACUGUUGUCCACUGCUACACCCUGAUAUUUUCUACUAAAAUGUUGCUGAUAUGUGUUUGUUUGAGUCGGCGGGAAAGGAGCGAAUUGGAAGAAAGGUGAGCAAAAGAAGUUGAUUCGGGACCAAGAGACAAAAGAAGAACUUCGCAUAUUCACUCUCUUAAGGCAAAAAGGCGAAGAAGUGCACGAGAGAGCUGGAAGGAAAAGAAAAAGAGAAAAACUUCGCCCGUUCAUUCUCGCAUGCACACAAGUGAAUGAACGAGCUAACCUGUAAGGCUGUAACAGCUUGUCCGACUUUGGCUUGGAAAAUGGCAUCUCAUACCAACCCUAAACUAUAUAAACACCUUCUUAAACAGUUUUUAAAGAGACAUUAUUUGGGAGGCGAAAGAUGGCUGGACCAAUUGCAAGUGCCGGAUCACACAAGUUCUUCUUCCGUUCUUCCUUAGUUUGUAUUAAUGCUUUCAAUUAUUAACAUGAUUGUUAGCGUGACUAUGCGUAGCUAAAUUUCUUUCUAGGGUUUUGGUGGAACCUUUUGUAGGAUGAAUUCUUGAUAUAUUUUGUUAUAAUUGAGCCUUUAGAUUUCUCUAUUUGUU
Molecule: long non-coding RNA, 605 nt
Organism: Nicotiana tabacum (common tobacco)
Lineage: Eukaryota; Viridiplantae; Streptophyta; Magnoliopsida; Solanales; Solanaceae
Source: RefSeq, a predicted model, not a curated record